CUGGAGCUACCGAGCGCCAAGAGGAGCCUUCGAAGACGAGCACCAGGAUAUGCAGUUCAGUUCAACGCCAGCCGUCUAUCGCGUAGGUUGGGGCCUCUCUCUUGCAUCGAGGCUUUGCUCAAAACCUCUGCCGACCCCGAACGGCGCACCGUACGGUGCGGUACAGUGUGGGCCCAAAGCCGCGUACUUCAGCUCGUUCCAUUCCAGUGUCUCAGGGGCGCAGUCCUCAGGCGAAUCUAUUGCAGGAGCAGCGAAAUCAAAAAGAGGACCUUGUCGCUCAGCAGCUGUUGGAGAGGCGGCCGAAGAAGUGAAGGCGCUGGAAGUACGAUCAACAUCUUCACCAAAAAGACCCACGCACCGAUCGAUUGGGCGUGCAGUGCAGUGCAAAGUCAGUCGGCGAAUUAUGCGAAACAAUCCCGUGCCCCUUGUACCGAGCCCCCGUGGUGCCCUUUGUGAUGAAGUGUGUGCCGUUCCCAAUGGUCCCCAUGCUUGCUCGCGUGAAGUGUUCAAAUAGGAUUAAGUUAGUCUUGCAGUAGUUCAGGAAAGGAAUGCUCCACCAGACACCCAAGCCAGUGAUGAGUGAAAUUGGACUUAAUCGAUCUUGUCGGAAGCUCUCGGUUAAAGUGUGUGCGUCAGUGUGCGUGUUACGUUCCGGUCUUUUCCAGCCAAGCGCUAAAGAGCUUUAGGGGCUGCUUAACGUCACUCGAGGGAGGUUUCUUGUUUGUUGAAUGUUUGCGCAAAAAAUUACUCACCACCAUAAACUCUUCGUCUUGCGUCAAGCGCCAAGCGACCGGUGAGCGCUGUGAUUUUUGGAAAUUCGUGCGUAGCAGUUGACCGAUGUUUGUGAGCCGCCGACAGUGUUUACCACCCAUUCGGACCCAGGCCGUCAGAAGCAGGCAGUGGCAAAGCAAUGCCGCAGGACCCGCGUACGUCUGUAUGCACAGAGGAACGGACGGUGUGAUUUAUUCGCUUCGUUUACGAUACAAGAUGGUGUCGGGUCGGGUGCAGCACAACCAUGGACGUAGCACCAGACGCCAGUGUUGCGCUGAAAUUAAUCCAAACACUUCCCAUCCAAACGGCGCAAGCGAAAAUAAAUAAAAACACACAAAGUGCAACGUAGAUAGAGAAACAAUCCCAACGGGACCGGUAUCGUUUGAAAAUGUCAAAUUUGCACACUGCAAUCUGGGCGAGCAGAAUCUCCCAUUUGCCAUGCAACGCGCUAAAAGCUGUGUAACAAAUGUCAAACUACACGGUUUGCAAUCAAAAUAAGGACAAACGAAACAAGUGUAAUUUUAAAAUUCUUCGUUUCGUGCUUUAGAAUCAUCUUCAUUCGAGAGUCCUCUUCAAACUAGUGCUAGAAUGGACGAAUGAGAUUCUGUCCUACGUCUGUUUGAGUUUAAGUUUGAGUCAUCCAAGAGAAUUCUCUUCAGCAGGUUGCGUCCUUCGGUGAGGAAGAUUAAUUUUACAGACUACUUCGCGAGAUGGGAGACGCCAAAAAAUAUGAUGAUGAAAUACACGAUGAACAGUGAGGGUGAACGUGAGACGUCGUUAUACAGUGGCUCAGUUAAUGUGUGUUCAACAAGAGCACUAUGGUCUUAUCAAGUAUUUCCCAGGAUCAACAAACUCUUACACAAGUAAGCGAUCGACAGCCAUCGCAUCGAACGUGUCUCUUACCAACCACAACCUCAUCCUGCUCCACAACUGUCACAAAUAGUUGGAAAUUAAUUACUACGGAUGAAAAGGAGAACAAAAACACACCACCCGCGUCCUCUCUCCGCUUGUGUCGCACCGACUGCAACCAAAUGGCAAAGUGGUUGAAAUUCCGCCCCGAAGUGUGUGCGCCACCCUCCCGGGAGCGAAAAUGGCUGAAGCAGAAAUGGCUGCGACCGACCGACUUAAAUUAAAUCUCAACAAGCUUCUUGUGCGGCAGCUUCCAGGAGCAAAUGGAAUCGAUCCCUCGGAAGGACUCUUGGAAGGAAGGAAGUCCUGUGAAGCACAAGCACCCCGAAGCUCUGUAGACAUUGAUGCGAAACAACCUUGACGUGAUCGUCGCCUACGCUGUCGUCUGGACGGGCGGUAAUUUUCUUUGGUGCGUAAGAAAUUAAUUAACAUGCAAGUCGAUACCAGCCAAUCGUGGCAGACGCGCAAACACACAGUCAUUGGAAAAGUUUUCCAGCCGCGCCAGGGAGGUAAAUCGAAACGUGAACAGAAAUAGAUCGCAGGGCUAUGGGAUGAAUAUCGAUUGGAAAUCGGGCGAGUUUGUUUUAAUCUCGUUGCGGGACAGUUUUAGACUGCAGCUUUACACACUAAUUAAUGAGUAUUUUUACAGCAGACUGCUGGUAAAUUUUCUCAUUUGGUACCGCCUGAAGGUAUGCAAUCAUAGUGUGUUUUGUGAACGCCUGAAGGUAUACACUUUACUCUAACGGUAGGAUUCGUUUAGUGAAUUAGGAGAAAAAUUAUAAAUAUGAUUUAAUCUAUAAACUAUUGCAUACUUUUAGGCGUUUCUACUGAGCUUCACAAAUGUUGAGUGAACUACAUCCACCCCAUUCUAUCGCAACAAUUCUUACCUAAUAUCUGUCCCAUUCUCCACUACUGCUCCAGCCAUUGCAAACCACAAACAACGUUGAAACUACUGAAUCCAAAUCCAAAUGGCACCCUAGUCUGAAGGGCAAACAAUAUAAUCAGAGGAAUGAUGGAAAUAAAAUGAAAACUUAUGUAACCGAAGUAACGAACGCUAACUUACCAACCAGUGUGCUAGUGCGACCGCUCCCUGGCACCCACUGGUAAACUGCACCAC
This is a long non-coding RNA of Anopheles arabiensis, 2797 nucleotides long. RefSeq lists it as uncharacterized. The transcript has 8 exons. Lineage: Eukaryota; Metazoa; Arthropoda; Insecta; Diptera; Culicidae. The record is from RefSeq and is a predicted model, not a curated record.